Molecule: non-coding RNA, 26 nt
Filed under: Rattus norvegicus (Norway rat)
Lineage: Eukaryota; Metazoa; Chordata; Mammalia; Rodentia; Muridae
Source: RNAcentral
UCCUCUUUGUAGGUUGGGCAAUGGUU